Molecule: ribosomal RNA, 253 nt
Filed under: uncultured bacterium
Lineage: Bacteria
Description: partial 16S ribosomal RNA
Rfam family: Bacterial small subunit ribosomal RNA
Source: RNAcentral
UACGUAGGGUGCAAGCGUUGUCCGGAAUUAUUGGGCGUAAAGAGCUCGUAGGCGGUUUGUCGCGUCUGCUGUGAAAUCCGGAGGCUCAGCCUCCGGCCUGCAGUGGGUACGGGCAGACUAGAGUGCGGUAGGGGAGAUUGGAAUUCCUGGUGUAGCGGUGGAAUGCGCAGAUAUCAGGAGGAACACCGAUGGCGAAGGCAGAUCUCUGGGCCGUAACUGACGCUGAGGAGCGAAAGCAUGGGGAGCGAACAGG